This 1192-nucleotide long non-coding RNA is filed under the name Camarhynchus parvulus. RNAcentral's name for it is "lncRNA (ENSCPVG00000018220.1)". Lineage: Eukaryota; Metazoa; Chordata; Aves; Passeriformes; Thraupidae. The record is from RNAcentral.
GCGGGUCCGGGCGCGCCCCGCCCGCGGCGUUCCCAGGAUUGCGGCCGGGGGGGCCCCAAAGGUCCCCAAAGCGUCUCCAAAAUGUCCCCAGAAUGUCCCCAGAAUGUCCCCAAAAUGUCCCCAAAAAUGUCCCCAAAGCGUCUCCAAAAUGUCCCUAAAAUGUCCCCAAAAAUGUCCCCAAAGCGUCCACAAAAUGUCCCUAAAAUUUCCCCAAAAUGUCCCCAAAGUGUCCCCAAAAAUGUCCCCAAAGCGUCUGCAAAAUGUCCCCAAAAUGUCCCUAAAAUUUCCCCAAAAAUGUCCCCAAAGCGUCCACAAAAUGUCCCCAAAAAUGUCCCCAAAAUGUCCCCAAAAAUGUCCCCAAAAUGUCCCCAAAAAUGUCCCCAAAAUGUCCCAAAAAUGUCCCCAAAAUGUCCCCAAAAUGUCCCUAAAAUGUCCCAAAAAUGUCCCCAAAAUGUCCCCAAAAUGUCCCCAAAAUGUCCCCAAAAAUGUCCCCAAAAAUGUCCCCAAAAUGUCCCCAAAAAUGUCCCCAAAAAUGUCCCCAAAGCGUCUCCAAAAUGUCCCCAAAAUGUCCCCAAAAAUGUCCCCAAAAUGUCCCCAAAAUGUCCCCAAAUGUCCCCAAGUCCCCCCCAAAAUGUCCCCAAAAAUGUCCCAAAAAUGUCCCCAAAUGUCCCCAAAAUGUCCCCAAAGCAUCCCCAAAAUGUCCCUAAAAUGUCCCCAAAAUGUCCCCAAAAUGUCCCCAAAGUGUCCCCAAAAAUGUCCCCAAAAGCGUCCCCAAAAUGUCCCCAAAAAUGUCCCCAAAAUGUCCCCAAAAUGUCCCCAAAAAUGUCCCCAAAACGUCCCCAAAAAUGUCCCCAAAAAUGUCCCCAAAAAUGUCCCCAAAGCGUUCCCCAAAAUGUCCCCAAAGCGUCCCCAAAAUGUCCCCAAAAUGUCCCUAAAAAUGUCCCCAGAAUGUCCCCAAAAUGUCCCCAAAAAAUGUCCCCAAAGGGUCUCCCAAAAUGUCCCCAAAAUGUCCCCAAAGCGUCCACAAAAUGUCCCCAAAAUGUCCCCAAAAUGUCCCCAAAAUGUCCCCAAAAUGUCCCCCAAAAUGUCCCCAAAAAUGUCCCCAAAAGCCCCCCAAAAUGUCCCCAAAGCGUCCCCAAAAUGUCCCCAAAAUGUCCCCCAAAAUGUCCCCAAAAUGUCCCCAAAAUGUCCC